GAAAAAAAAUCCGCGGGUCAAAAAAAAAUACCCGCGGAUCCGCAUCAAUGUAUCUGCGAACGAUAUCGGUUUGGUCGCUAGUUGCGAGGUUGAAUAUUAUAUGUUUAAAGCGUAGAUAGAUUAAAACAAGUACCAUACAAAAAUAUAUUGCAAUUCCUAAUAUUCAUAAAUAAGUAGAAGUGACGCACACAAAGCAUUAAUGCCGAGUAUUAUUUGAUAUUCAAAUCCAAACAUUGCGACGUUCUGAUUCGGAACUUGUAUAUUAAAGAAGAUCAACUUCAUCGUCAAAUAGUAUAUUUUGGUUUCUCCCCUCAAAGUUAAUGAAUCGUUAUUUUUGCUUUUCGAGUUAUUGCUUCUGUAUCUUUUAUCGCUGUUUUAAGUAAAUGAUUCAAUGAAUGAAAAGGAAAAUGUAUUUCGAUGCAUUCGAGCUUAAAUAAAUAGGUUUUAACUAAGUAAAUGAUUUUUUAAAUAUUGAUAUUCUUGAUAUGCAAUAAUGGCAUGUGCUUAUUACAUUCUAUAUGUAAUAACAUUCUAUAUAAUAACAUUAAUAACAUUCUAUAUAAUCUUACAUAACAAACAGUUUAAUAUUUAAUGCGCUAAAACAUGGUAUGAAAAUUAAUGUAGUUAUAUUUGUCACGUUAUGCCGGAUUCCGAAUGUAACAUGGCCUGUCCUGGGGACGAAAGUCAGACAUGCGGAGGCCGCUGGCGAAAUAGCGUCUACAGCAGCAGGGUACGGCGAAGAGUGUUUCUGUGGACACUAUCUGAACGCCAUGAAAAGGCCGGAUUUCGAAUGUAACAUGGCCUGUCCUGGGGACGAAAGUCAGACAUGCGGAGGCCGCUGGCGAAAUAGCGUCUACAGCAGCAGGGCCGAGAACAUGUCAUAAAAAAGAAAAUCCUUGUUCGGAAUCAACAAUGUGUGAGCUGAUACGAACAGCCGGGAACAGCCGGAAGGAUACUCUUCGCUUUUUUAAAACUAUUUACUUUCGUGUUUUUUUAUAGAACAUUAUUGAAUAUCCAUUUACUAACUGCUUGAUUACAGAGAAAAAUAUUGUUGUUUUUUGCUAAGCAGUUUAAUGAUGUUUUUUCGUGAAAAACAUUUUUACUUAGACAGAUUGACCUGACUUAAAUGACACUUUUAUAAUACAAAGGAAUGAAUGUUAUAAGUAUGGAAAUGAUAACA
Long non-coding RNA from Dreissena polymorpha, 1180 nucleotides. RefSeq lists it as uncharacterized. The record is from RefSeq and is a predicted model, not a curated record. NCBI's taxonomy places the organism in Eukaryota, Metazoa, Mollusca, Bivalvia, Myida, Dreissenidae. The transcript is spliced from 3 exons.